AUUGAACGCUGGCGGCAGGCCUAACACAUGCAAGUCGAGCGGAUGAAGGGAGCUUGCUCCUGGAUUCAGCGGCGGACGGGUGAGUAAUGCCUAGGAAUCUGCCUGGUAGUGGGGGAUAACGUCCGGAAACGGGCGCUAAUACCGCAUACGUCCUGAGGGAGAAAGUGGGGGAUCUUCGGACCUCACGCUAUCAGAUGAGCCUAGGUCGGAUUAGCUAGUUGGUGGGGUAAAGGCCUACCAAGGCGACGAUCCGUAACUGGUCUGAGAGGAUGAUCAGUCACACGGGAACUGAGACACGGUCCAGACUCCUACGGGAGGCAGCAGUGGGGAAUAUUGGACGAUGGGCGAAAGCCUGAUCCAGCCAUGCCGCGUGUGUGAAGAAGGUCUUCGGAUUGUAAAGCACUUUAAGUUGGGAGGAAGGGCAGUAAGUUAAUACCUUGCUGUUUUGACGUUACCAACAGAAUAAGCACCGGCUAACUUCGUG
This 484-nucleotide ribosomal RNA is filed under the name uncultured bacterium. RNAcentral's name for it is "partial 16S ribosomal RNA". It matches the Rfam family "Bacterial small subunit ribosomal RNA", at positions 30 to 507 of the family's 1533-position model. The record is from RNAcentral.